RNAcentral lists this ribosomal RNA (424 nucleotides) under uncultured bacterium. RNAcentral describes it as "bacterial SSU rRNA". It matches the Rfam family "Bacterial small subunit ribosomal RNA", at positions 355 to 772 of the family's 1533-position model. The record is from RNAcentral.
UGGGGAAUCUUGCGCAAUGGGCGAAAGCCUGACGCAGCGACGCCGCGUGGGUGAUGAAGGCCUUCGGGUUGUAAAGCCCUGUGGAGGGGGAAGAAUAAGGGCAGCCUAAUACGCUGACUGAUGACGGUACCCCUUUAGCAAGCACCGGCUAACUCUGUGCCAGCAGCCGCGGUAAGACAGAGGGUGCAAACGUUGUUCGGAAUUACUGGGCGUAAAGCGCGUGUAGGCGGCUUGGCAAGUCGGGUGUGAAAGCCCUGGGCUCAACCCAGGAAGUGCACUCGAAACUGCUUCGCUCGAGUAUCGGAGAGGAAAGCGGAAUUCUCGGUGUAGAGGUGAAAUUCGUAGAUAUCGAGAGGAACACCGGUGGCGAAGGCGGCUCUCUGGGCAUUACCUGACGCUGAGGAGCGAAAGUGUGGGGAGCGAA